AAACGUAGGUCCCGAGCGUUGUUCGGAUUCACUGGGUGUAAAGGGCGCGUAGGUGGUUGUCUGUGUCUCAUGUGAAAACUCAGGGCUCAACUCUGAGAUUGCGUGGGAAACUAGGCAGCUAGAGGACGGUAGAGGGGAGUGGAAUUCCCGGUGUAGCGGUAAAAUGCGUAGAUAUCGGGAGGAACACCGGUGGCGAAGGCGGCUCUCUGGGCCGAUCCUGACGCUGAGGCGCGAAAGCUAGGGGAGCGAACCGGAUUAGAUACUCGGGUAGUCCUAGCCGUAAACGAUGGGUGCUAGGUGUUGGGGGGUAAAGACCCUUCAGUGCCGAAGCCAACGCGAUAAGCAUCCCACCUGGGGAGUACGGCCGCAAGGUUGAAACUCAAAUGAAUUGGCGGGG
This 397-nucleotide ribosomal RNA is filed under the name uncultured bacterium. RNAcentral describes it as "partial 16S ribosomal RNA". It matches the Rfam family "Bacterial small subunit ribosomal RNA", at positions 523 to 918 of the family's 1533-position model. The record is from RNAcentral.